This 68-nucleotide transfer RNA is filed under the name Etisus dentatus. RNAcentral's name for it is "tRNA-Trp". The record is from RNAcentral. Lineage: Eukaryota; Metazoa; Arthropoda; Malacostraca; Decapoda; Xanthidae.
AGGAUUUUAAGUUAUAUAAACUAAAAGCCUUCAAAGCUUUAAAAAAAAGUCUUUCCUUUUAAAUCCUA